This 73-nucleotide transfer RNA is filed under the name Bacteroidota bacterium. RNAcentral's name for it is "Bacteroidetes bacterium (activated sludge metagenome) tRNA-Thr". It matches the Rfam family "tRNA". From Rfam's summary of the family: Transfer RNA (tRNA) molecules are approximately 80 nucleotides in length. Lineage: Bacteria; Pseudomonadati; Bacteroidota. The record is from RNAcentral.
GCCGAAGUAGCUCAGCUGGUAGAGCUACUGAUUUGUAAUCAGUAGGUCGGGGGUUCGAUUCCCUCCUUCGGCU